Molecule: transfer RNA, 72 nt
Filed under: Camelus bactrianus (Bactrian camel)
Lineage: Eukaryota; Metazoa; Chordata; Mammalia; Artiodactyla; Camelidae
Also listed under: 1 other name
Rfam family: tRNA
About the family: Transfer RNA (tRNA) molecules are approximately 80 nucleotides in length. Their secondary structure includes four short double-helical elements and three loops (D, anti-codon, and T loops). Further hydrogen bonds mediate the characteristic L-shaped molecular structure. tRNAs have two regions of fundamental functional importance: the anti-codon, which is responsible for specific mRNA codon recognition, and the 3' end, to which the tRNAs corresponding amino acid is attached (by aminoacyl-tRNA synthetases). tRNAs cope with the degeneracy of the genetic code in two manners: having more than one tRNA (with a specific anti-codon) for a particular amino acid; and 'wobble' base-pairing, i.e. permitting non-standard base-pairing at the 3rd anti-codon position.
Source: Rfam by way of RNAcentral
GAGGGUAUAGCUCAAGUGUUAGAGUGCAUGCUUAGCAUGCACGAGGUCCUGGGUUCAAGCCCCAGUCCUUCU